Molecule: ribosomal RNA, 560 nt
Filed under: Niceforonia nana (Santander Andes frog)
Lineage: Eukaryota; Metazoa; Chordata; Amphibia; Anura; Strabomantidae
Description: LSU rRNA
Rfam family: Bacterial large subunit ribosomal RNA
Source: RNAcentral
GAGAGGUCAGCCUGCCCAGUGACCCAUGUUCAACGGCCGCGGUAUCCUAACCGUGCGAAGGUAGCGUAAUCACUUGUCUUUUAAAUAAAGACUAGUAUGAAAGGCACCACGAGGGUCUGACUGUCUCCUGUUUUCUAUCAGUGAAACUAAUCUCCCCGUGAAGAAGCGGGGAUUAUCAUAUAAGACGAGAAGACCCUAUGGAGCUUCAAACAACAUAAUCACCACCCUUAACAUUGCCAAAAAAAGCUUAACCCUAACUCAUGCCUGAUUAUAAGUUUUGGGUUGGGGAGACCACGGAGAAAACACACCCUCCACGCUGGACACGAACUUUCACCCUAAAUAAUAAGAUACAUCUUUUUAGAUCAACAAAUUGACACUCAUUGACCCAACACACUUGAUCAACGAACCAAGUUACCCUAGGGAUAACAGCGCAAUCCGCUUUAAGAGCUCAUAUCGACAAGCGGGUUUACGACCUCGAUGUUGGAUCAGGGUCUCCUAGUGGCGCAGCCGCUACUAAAGGUUCGUUUGUUCAACGAUUAAUACCCUACGUGAUCUGGUUU